AUAUAAGCUGUUUUUAGACUAACAAGAAGGUUUUGGGAUCUGAAACUUACAGGAUGUUUUUAUAGUACAAUGACCUUUUAAAUUUCAAAAGAUUAAGGGAAUUUUGAUUUCUCAACACGAAAAUGUUCUUUUUUUAAAAGGAAAAUGUAACAAUAAUGUAAUGUAAAUGUAACAUGUAAUAGAAUUUAUGUUCUAAUGUUGUCACUUCCAUCUCUUUCCUCAGAGGGACGUCACAUUUCAAAGUUUGUGCUUAGUACCUCACUAAGACACGUUAACCCAUCGACAGCUGUGCGAAAUCAUCAUAAUUCGCACUGAAACGGCAGUUUUCUGAUGGGGGACAGUCCCACAGGAGGGUUAGAAAAGCGUUUAACGUCACAGAUGAUGCAAGUCUGAGAGUGCACCUUUUUAUGCCAGUGUUGCUUUGUGUUUCCCAGGCUCCUCUGGUCCUAAUCUCUCUUUUCGUUCCAUACAUGUGUCUCACAUUAGCGUACGAACCCUCAGAGCCCAGCUUAGGGUUUUUAAUAUACCUGCUGAAAGAUGUUACAUCCAGAAGAGAAACCUGAGAGAGAAAAUAAGGUUGUAAGAGUUAAACCACAGGGAGAAAGAAAAUGUCCUCUCUGACGCUCUGCCACAGCUGUUGCCUUUUAAAACACUCAUUGUGCAAGAGGAUAUACAACAAUUGAAACACAUCCAAUGAUAACAUGCUGGAAAAGUAGUUUAAUGCUGUGGGCACAUCUACUGUCAGGGGGAGAUUUAUCUGAAGGCCAAUGCUAAUAUGGCUGUGUUGCGUUAAGUAAUGCCCUGUUUAACUG
Molecule: long non-coding RNA, 812 nt
Organism: Cyprinus carpio carpio
Lineage: Eukaryota; Metazoa; Chordata; Actinopteri; Cypriniformes; Cyprinidae
Source: Ensembl